Molecule: ribosomal RNA, 1035 nt
Filed under: Triticum aestivum (bread wheat)
Lineage: Eukaryota; Viridiplantae; Streptophyta; Magnoliopsida; Poales; Poaceae
Description: partial small subunit ribosomal RNA
Source: RNAcentral
AUGUUUAUUAUCAACAGUGGGCAGUCAUUAUCAAUUGUUGAAGAACCCAGUCUUCAGAUGUUUAUUAGAGUUGUUAAUCCGCUGUCUGAAAAUAUAAACUCUUGUCGCCGUUCUGUUUUAGACAGAGAUGUCACGGCUCUUUAUGGAAGGGAAAAUGAUUCUUUGAAAUUUAUCUUGUCUGAAGUACCUGGGAGAAUCAGUUUCGCUAUUGAUCGCCGGAAGGGCAAAGAAACCGGAGAAAACUACAAUGAUGAUAUCUAUAUGUGCAUCGUGGCUUGCUUUAUUGAUGUUGAUUGGAAUUUGCAGAGAAGAGUAGUGGCUUUCAAACACUUGUCUUUUCCUGAUGAUGUCGUGUUUGUCGCUGAUACUGUAGCAUCCUGUUUUACUGAAUUUGAGGUUGAUCAGAAGCUAAUGUGCAUAACUCUGGAUAAUGCAUUAGAUGAUGCUUCUGUGGAUAAUUCAGUUAAGACGAUUGUGCUAGAUAAGGACAAAUUGUUGUGUGAUGGUGAAUUAUGUCAAAUGCAUUGUUUCACAGAAAUCUUGAAUUCAGUUGUGCAAGCUGGUCUAGAGCUGAUUGAUGAUGUUGUUGCCAAGAUUCGUCAUGGAAUUCACUAUAUCACUUACUCUAAAAAGAGAGAGGAUGAGUUUUAUCAGGGUGCUAAAGAAAUUUGUCAUCUUGAUGUUGCAAUGAAGUUACGUGCUGAUCUGGUUAUUACUUGGGACUCAACUUACAAAAUGCUUUGCUGUGCGCUUUAUUACAAGGAUGCUCUGAAGCAUUUUGCACCAAAACAUCAGACCUUCUUGUCUAAUUUCCAUCUUUGUGAUGAAGAAUGGAACAGGGUGGCAACAAUGGAAAAGUUCAUAAAGCCACUCUAUGACAUCACAUGCACUUUCUUAACCACAAAGCACAAAACUGCCAGUUUAUACUUUCUUGGUCUAUACAAGGUUUACCGAUUGCUUGGAGUGACAAAAGGGCAAGAAAACUUCAUGGCUGGUAUGGUGAAAGACAUGACGGCUAAGUUCGACAAGUAUUAG